This 214-nucleotide ribosomal RNA is filed under the name Clostridiales bacterium 41_12_two_minus. RNAcentral's name for it is "partial 16S ribosomal RNA". It matches the Rfam family "Bacterial small subunit ribosomal RNA", at positions 1 to 194 of the family's 1533-position model. Lineage: Bacteria; Bacillati; Bacillota; Clostridia; Eubacteriales. The record is from RNAcentral.
UUUUAACGAGAGUUUGAUCCUGGCUCAGGAUGAACGCUGGCGGCGUGCCUAACACAUGCAAGUCGAGCGAAGCACUUUGCUUAGAUUCUUCGGAUGAAGAGGAUUGUGACUGAGCGGCGGACGGGUGAGUAACGCGUGGGUAACCUGCCUCAUACAGGGGGAUAACAGUUAGAAAUGACUGCUAAUACCGCAUAAGACCACAGCACCGCAUGGU